RNAcentral lists this ribosomal RNA (898 nucleotides) under uncultured bacterium. Its description in RNAcentral is "bacterial SSU rRNA". It matches the Rfam family "Bacterial small subunit ribosomal RNA", at positions 79 to 989 of the family's 1533-position model. The record is from RNAcentral.
CUGCUCGAAGAUCUUAGUGGCGGACAGGUGAGUAACGCGUGGGCAAUCUGCCCGUAAGAGGGGGAUAACACCUAGAAAUGGGUGCUAAUACCGCAUAACAUCAUAGGGUUGCAUGACCUUGUGAUCAAAGGAGAAAUCCGCUUACGGAUGAGCCCGCGUCUGAUUAGCUAGUUGGUGGGGUAACGGCCUACCAAGGCGACGAUCAGUAGCCGGCCUGAGAGGGUGAUCGGCCACACUGGAACUGAGACACGGUCCAGACUCCUACGGGAGGCAGCAGUGGGGAAUCUUCCGCAAUGGGCGAAAGCCUGACGGAGCAACGCCGCGUGAGUGAUGAAGGCCUUCGGGUUGUAAAACUCUGUCUUCAGGGAAGAAAAAAAUGACGGUACCUGAGGAGGAAGCCACGGCUAACUACGUGCCAGCAGCCGCGGUAAUACGUAGGUGGCAAGCGUUGUCCGGAAUUACUGGGCGUAAAGAGCGCGUAGGCGGGGAUUUAAGUCAGGAGUGAAAACUACCGGCUCAACCGGUAGCCUGCUCUUGAAACUGAAUCUCUUGAGGGUAUGAGAGGAAAGCGGAAUUCCCAGUGUAGCGGUGAAAUGCGUAGAUAUUGGGAGGAACACCAGUGGCGAAGGCGGCUUUCUGGCAUACAACUGACGCUGAGGCGCGAAAGCGUGGGGAGCAAACGGGAUUAGAUACCCCGGUAGUCCACGCCGUAAACGAUGGGCACUAGGUGUAGGAGGUAUCGACCCCUUCUGUGCCGUAGUUAACACAAUAAGUGCCCCGCCUGGGGAGUACGGCCGCAAGGUUGAAACUCAAAGGAAUUGACGGGGGCCCGCACAAGCGGUGGAGUAUGUGGUUUAAUUCGACGCAACGCGAAGAACCUUACCAGGGCUUGACAUCC